Molecule: transfer RNA, 63 nt
Filed under: Trichosanthes kirilowii (Chinese cucumber)
Lineage: Eukaryota; Viridiplantae; Streptophyta; Magnoliopsida; Cucurbitales; Cucurbitaceae
Description: tRNA-Ile
Source: RNAcentral
GGGCUAACGGGCGAGGUCUCUGGUUCAAGUCCAGGAUGGCCCAGCUACGCCAAAGAAAAGAAU